GAUGAACGCUGGCGGCGUGCCUAAUACAUGCAAGUCGAGCGAACAGAUAAGGAGCUUGCUCCUUUGACGUUAGCGGCGGACGGGUGAGUAACACGUGGGUAACCUACCUAUAAGACUGGAAUAACUCCGGGAAACCGGGGCUAAUGCCGGAUAACAUUUAGAACCGCAUGGUUCUAAAGUGAAAGAUGGUUUUGCUAUCACUUAUAGAUGGACCCGCGCCGUAUUAGCUAGUUGAUAAGGUAACGGCUUACCAAGGCAACGAUACGUAGCCGACCUGAGAGGGUGAUCGGCCACACUGGAACUGAGACACGGUCCAGACUCCUACGGGAGGCAGCAGUAGGGAAUCUUCCGCAAUGGGCGAAAGCCUGACGGAGCAACGCCGCGUGAGUGAUGAAGGUCUUCGGAUCGUAAAACUCUGUUAUUAGGGAAGAACAAAUGUGUAAGUAACUGUGCACGUCUUGACGGUACCUAAUCAGAAAGCCACGGCUAACUACGUG
This 497-nucleotide ribosomal RNA is filed under the name uncultured bacterium. Its description in RNAcentral is "partial 16S ribosomal RNA". It matches the Rfam family "Bacterial small subunit ribosomal RNA", at positions 28 to 507 of the family's 1533-position model. The record is from RNAcentral.